GUGUGACGUCCUGUUGUGUUCUUUACCCCCCCUCCCAAUGUAGACUUCAGGUUUCACAGUUAUUGUUUUCCGUCAGAUCGUUUACAGAUCUUGACGUUUCCGACCGCACUUGAAGGCAGCUUCAUUUUAUGGAGUAAGCAAAG
Molecule: long non-coding RNA, 143 nt
Organism: Etheostoma spectabile (orangethroat darter)
Lineage: Eukaryota; Metazoa; Chordata; Actinopteri; Perciformes; Percidae
Exons: 3
Source: RefSeq, a predicted model, not a curated record